GCGGACAGAUGGGAGCUUGCUCCCUGUAUGUUAGCGGCGGACGGGUGAGUAACACGUGGGUAACCUGCCUGUGAAACUGGGAUAACUCCGGGAAACCGGGGCUAAUACCGGAUGCUUGUUUGAACCGCACGGUUCAGACAUAAAAGGUGGCUUCGGCUACCACUUACAGAUGGACCCGCGGCGCAUUAUCUAUUUGGUGAGGUAACGGCUCACCAAGGCGACAAUGCGUAGCCCACCUGAGAGGGUGAUCGGCCACACUGGGACUGAGACACGGCCCACACUCCUACGGGAGGCAGCAGUAGGGAAUCUUCCCCAAUGGACGAAAGUCUGACGGAGCAACGCCGCGUGAGUGAGGAAGGUUUUCGGAUCGUAAAGCUCUGUUGUUAGGGAAAAAAAAGUGCCGUUCAAAUAGGGCGGCACCUUGACGGUACCUAACCAAAAAGCCACGGCUAAAUACGUGCCAGCAGCCGCGGUAAUACGUAGGUGGCAAGCGUUGUCCGGAAUUAUUGGGCGUAAAGGGCUCGCAGGCGGUUUCUUAAGUCUGAUGUGAAAGCCCCCGGCUCAACCGGGGAGGGUCAUUGGAAACUGGGGAACUUGAGUGCAAAAAAGGAGAGUGGAAUUCCCCGUGUAGCGGUGAAAUGCGUAGAGAUGUGGAGGAACACCAGUGGCGAAGGCGACUCUCUGGUCUGUAACUGACGCUGAGGGAGCGAAAGCGUG
RNAcentral lists this ribosomal RNA (717 nucleotides) under Bacillus velezensis. Its description in RNAcentral is "bacterial SSU rRNA". It matches the Rfam family "Bacterial small subunit ribosomal RNA", at positions 66 to 763 of the family's 1533-position model. The record is from RNAcentral. Lineage: Bacteria; Bacillati; Bacillota; Bacilli; Caryophanales; Bacillaceae.